This 9534-nucleotide long non-coding RNA is filed under the name Gossypium raimondii (Peruvian cotton). Its description in RNAcentral is "long non-coding RNA (GRAI_LNC005735)". The record is from RNAcentral. Lineage: Eukaryota; Viridiplantae; Streptophyta; Magnoliopsida; Malvales; Malvaceae.
CCGGCCUCUCUUCACUAUAAAAAUUGGCAAACAUAUUUGCGUAAAUCCUUCCGCUAAUUCCUUCUUCAAGCCCAUCUCUUUGUUAGAUCCGACAAACAAUAUGGACUAUUGUCCGAUGUUGGAAAUUUCUUUCUUUCUAGCCUAAGGUUUACAGAAAAUUCUUUGUCCGAAGAGAAAUUUUACCCCGAACUCCAAUAAGACCAAAAUUUCUCAUUAUUUCAUUAAUCUAUGAAAAUUGAUUAACACUAUUUCCUUAAUUGUGCAAAUAAAUCAAUUAUGACACCAAUCAUACGAAUCAAUUGAAGAGAGCUUUGAACACCAAUAUAUUAAAUUCAAUUAUGCCUUGCUGAACCUUCCUCCAACUUGCUAAUUACUUAAUUUUUUUAUAUAUAUUUCCUGUUUAAUACAGGAACUGCUUAAGGCCAUCAAAGCUGACUUAGGAAGAGUGCGAGCGGAGGAAAUAUACAAAGAAGGCAGGCUGAUAGCUGUGGAGAGUUCACUCCUAGAGUUCAAGAGAGUGAUUGGGGAUCUAAAAGCAAAGGCAAAAUUGGUUGAUGACUUGGUGAACCUGGUCAUUCAAGUUGUGAUAGAUAAUGAUCUAAACAUUGAUGAGCAAAUCACUAUCUUGAUAGAUGAAGUUAUAAGGGCCUUCACCCAAGCGUUGAACGGGGCACAAUCUCACGGCAGUUGCCCGGCUGCAGGCGAAAAUGGUGGAGGGCAUGACAGCAGUUUCGACCAUCCCGAUUAAUACGACAGAGAUUCCUGUAUUUGUGUCAUGCUAGUAUUAUAUUUUUAUAUUAUAAUGUGUUUUUUUUUUUACAAGUUCUAUUUUACUUUUAGUAUUUAUGUCUUACCUAAAUGUUAUACCUAAAGUAGUCAAAUUUAAGUGGCAUGACACUAGAAGCAUCAUUGUAUGAGUCCCCAAGAACAAAUAAGAAUGUUAUCUAAUACGUUUCUAGUUUUAAAUUGACAGAACCAAAGAUAGUGUCUGCAACGGGUGUAAAGAGGCUCAAUCUCUCUAAUUCUUGAAAAUUCUUGAACAAGUGCGUGGUUAAUUAGUAAAUUUUAAUUUUCUUAUAUGUGAUCAUUUAUUUUCUUUUUCUUUUAUGAUUUAGAAAUGAUUUCUAUAUUUGAGUCUUAUCAAAGGAGCUGUAGAGUAUAACAAUAAUGAAACUAUGAUUAUUAAUUGUCUAAGUAUUAAAUCACUAAUGCAUUGAAUACUCUCCAUUGAUCACUACAUUUGCAUCCAAUUAGAAAGUGGCUUUGAGAUCUUGUUAGUUUAGUUUGACAGUUUUAGUCCAUUCUUCGUAUUACUUAUUGGUGACAGUAAUAAUCAUAACUUUACUUAAUUGGUAAUUUUGGGAUUGGUUAAUAAAGUAAGUAAUUAAUUGAUUUAAACUUGAUUUAUAUUUUCAUAAUAUAUCCUUUGAGUACAAUCAUGGUAUUGGUUUAGAAAGAGGGGGUUAGAUUGGUUGACCCAUGAAUUGCUCAGAACCAAUUAAAAUACGAUAAAAAUCAGUUGAACUGAUUUUCUUUAUCUUUUAAAUAUAUUUUUAAUUUUUAUAAUUUAAAACAAUUUAUUUAAUUAUUAUGGACGAAUUGGUUGAACCGGUCAAAUUAAGAACUGAUGGUCUAACUAAUUAAACCACCAAUUUGUUUUUGAAAACCUUGAUUCUUAUGUAACAUUAUUAUUUGCAUAAAUUGUAGAAUAAAUUUUUGAAGUUAAAAUAUGCUUCAAGUCUUUGCAUUCUUUGGGUAUUUAAAAUUUAGUCCAUCUACUUUUCAAAUUUAAAAGGUCAACUUUAAUUGUUAAAAUCAUUAAUUUUUUAUGUUAAAUUCGCAAGAGUGACAUUUUAAUUAUUUUUUUUGAAAUACUCACAUGAUAAACAUGUAACAAAAAAACAAUGCAAUGGUCAUGAAUUUAAUUAUCUAAUAGUGUUAACAACUCUUAAAAUUUACAUAAUCAUUUUAAUAAAAAUAAAACAUUUGAGCUAAUCAAUGACAUCGUAAAAGUUAAGGUACUAAAUUAUGUAAAGAAGUUAAAGUAUAAAGAUUAAAUUUUAAAUUUGAGUGUAGUAUAAGGACCAAAAUUUUAAACUUGUCAUUGUUUUAUAAUGUAUAGAAAAAGUAUGGUAUCAUGUCACUUUGCCACAUUGAUAGGGUUUUUUUUUUUUUUUUGCUAAUACAUUUAUGAAUAGUCGAAAAAAUCACUUUAACCUUUCAACUAUAAAUAUUUUUUUAUUAUUCUUGAACACUUAUUAACAUACACAUAAUAUAAUAGUAAAAUAAUAAGAUAAUUAUCACAUAUAAAUAUAUAAAUUAUUUGAACUAAUUAAUGUCAUUGUAAAAGUAAAGCACUAAAUUAUGUAAAAUUACUAUUGUUGUUUUUAUUUUUUUGGAGUUUGACAGAAAGUAGAAGUAUUAUAGAUAAUAUAUAUGUAAAAUAUAAUACAUUAUUUUUUGUAAAAAUAUACUGUUUAAUAAAUUAAAAAUAAAUAUAUAAAUAUGAUUAAUAAAUAAGAGUCAGGUUAAAGGAAACAAAAAGCCAAUAAACUUAGUUUUUGUAUUGAAAUUUCCGCAACUCUAGAACACUUGAUACGAGACGAUAAAUACAAAGCACACUUGACUCCAAGGACAAUAGAGAGUGGGUAAGACAUUAAAUUUAUCGAUAAGGAUUGGGAAGGAGCUUUGUUCACUAUAAAUAUCCGCAAAUAUCACAAGCCCAUUUGUCGUCCUAAAAAAAAAAAAAAAAAAUUUCCUAUUGAAGCUCAUCACUUAGAAAGAAUAUGAACUGUUGUUCAAUGUUGUAAUUUCUUUCUGGCCUAUGGUUUAUAGCAAAUCCUGUGUCCGAGUUUCAAAGGUGUGAACCAUGGCUUACACAAAACCUGUUCAUUCUAUUGUAGCUAUUCCUAGCAGUGGAGUUCGAACACAGCAUCCGCCGCUACAUGUCUUCACAUUUUUUUAACCGCCUAUAACCAUUUUUUUUCAUCUUAUAACCAUACUAUGUUUUCUCAUUGACAGAAGUCAUCAAAGAAUGAUGACUCUGCACAGCGAGAGAGAAAAUUCCAGAAAGAAAAAAUUUCUGAAUGGAUGAUACUUUCUUAUUGCUUACCAUAUUGACUGCCCAUUUACAUUUAUAGCUACAGCUCGCUGAUGGAUAAACUGCUCUCUACAGCUUUCAACAACUGACGUUAACAACUCUUUAACAGUCCUCAACUAACAUUGACUUUAAUGACCUUAACAACUUUGCAACUGACGUUAACAACUCUUAACGGUCUUCCGCUGACAUUAAUAGCUCCUCCAGGGGUGGUGGUUGUCUACCUUGUCUUUUGGGAGAUGGGUGGCCUGAGCCCUUGUUAACUCUUCUAUCGCCUCUGCUGCUCGUCUUCCCUGAUGCUCUGGAACAUUGUUGAAUUGGUUGGUCUUAGCUAUGGCAGGCGGGGAGGUGUUUUGCUUUGCUUGAUAAUAGGGUGAUGAGACCCGAGACCUCUGAUUAGGGCGGAUCUAUGGCUGUUGCUGAUUCUUCCCCGUUUUAAAUGGGAAACGGAAGGUGGAUGGUUGUUGUCUGAUGGGAUGCCUCUGUUCGCUGCUAUGCUUUGGAGCUUUGUCUCCUUCUAACCCUUUGUAUCCUUUUUCUCAAAUCAAUGAAUUUGGUCUUAAUUCCCACCCACACAUUACGUUUAAAAUAUGAAAGACAAGCCAGUCUUUUCCCUUUUAAAAAAAUAAGCGUUACAUAAAAUGUUUGGCUUGAUUCAUCAUUGAGAACAAAAUUGGAAAGCAAUUAAAUUGGUUAAAAGAAGUGGUUAAAUUGGUUGAAACAAGCAUGAGACACAAAAAUAGUGGUGGUGGAUUCCUAUGACGAUAACAAAACGUUAAAAUGCUUUUGUCAUAUUCCGUGGCGAUGGGUGAAGACAAUGUACGCCUUGGUCCAUUUACUGGAGAUCGGUGAAGGCAAUGUAGGGCUUUGCAAAAUGCUUAAAUCCCUCGAUUCUCGAUUGUAUCAUAUUCCUAACAACAUUGGAGUCUUUAGUGGGCUGCCCUGGUCCACCCCAAAUCGCUCGAUUUUGGCAAUGUCUUUAGUUGAAUGCCCUGGUCCACCCCAAAAUCCCUUGAUUUUGGCAAUACUAUUACAAGACUGGUGAUUGAUGAAGACAAUAUACAUACGUGUCACGGGUCGCGAAUCGAAUUCGGUGACGAAUGUAUAUUAAAUGUUUCAUGGAGUUCAACUGAUUAAAUAAGGCUUGUUUGACCCAUUUAAGAUGGUCUGAAUUGUUAAGCAUGUGAAAAAAAUCCAUUCACUUGAAGCUUUUGUGACCUAGUAGAACACUUCAAUAAAAUUAGAGUUAGUAUGAUGAAUAUUGCAAGUCCUACAAUAUAGGAUUGUAUAGAGUUUAUAUCCUUUAGGAUUCUAAUACCCAAAGUUUAAAAUGUUUGUAAUCACAUCCCAGAACUUUGGAUUACAUUAAUUAAGUUCUUCCGUUAUUAAAAUCAUUAAGGGUCUGUUUGAUUGUCAGUAAAAUGUUUUCCGUAAAAUGAUUUCUGGAAAAUAUUUUACUUUUCUGUAAAAUGAUUUACUAGAAAAUAUUUUCUGCUGUUUGGCACAUUUCCUGAAAAUAUUUUCCGGAAAAGUUGUUUUUACAUAUAUUAAUAUAUAUUAAUAAUUUUUUAUAUUUUAAAUUGUUUUUACAUAUAUUGCAAUGAUUUAUUUAUAAUAAUACUCAAUUAUUAAGCUACAAUAUUAAUCGUUAUAAAUUGAAAAAAACUAAUAUCAAAUAAAUUAUUUAUAAUUGUGUUAAAAAAACAAGUUACUGGAAAAUCAAUAAACAGAAGCAGUUUUCUACCGGAAAUGAAGGAAGGAAUGAAGGAGGCGAUAGAGAGGAGAGCACGGAAAAUGUCUUACGGAAAUUGAAAGGGUAAGACAUUUUCCAUAAAAUGUAACAUAUUUUCCCUUGUUUUGGAGUUCAUUUUCCAAAUGGAAAAUGUUUUCCGCCAAUCAAACGCUGGAAAAGUUGGAAAUGAUUUUCCGAAAAAUCAAUUUCGUCAAUCAAACAGACCCUAAUUUCACUAUUCAGUGACAUACCAAAUCUUACGUAGAAUAAUUUAAAAUUCAAAAAUUAAAAAAAUAAGAAAAUAAUUAAAUUUAAUAAAUUUUCAUUUUGGUCAAUCAUUUACUUUUUUUUUUUAAAUUAAGUUUAACAACGGGAGUUAAAUGAGAUGGCAAGGGUCUUUCCUACCUUAACCAGUAGUCGAGGAUUUGAUUUUUAUCCUGGAUAUGGAGCAUCUUUAAAACUUGUGACAAACAUCUACUCCCUUAAUGACCUAUAAAAUCUGGAGCAGCUUUAAAAUUUGAUUUUUUGUCCUAUAAAAAUCUAGAUAUUUCUUUGUAAAAUUUCAUAAUUUUCCCUUUUACUAAAAAUAACUACAAUUAUUGUUAAAGGGGAAAAAUCAUUCCUUUAUAAAUUCAAAUUUUUUCCUUCUAAAACCCAUGUAAUUCUCUAUAAAAUCUCAAGUUUUUUCUUUUUACUGAAAAAACUAAAGUUAAAUCUAGAAAAAAAGGAAAAAUAAUAAAUUUAAAUUUAAAAGAAGAAAAUUAAAAAAUGUUGAGUGGCUAAAAAGAGUGUAAACUAACAGUGAGUGAUAAAAAUGAUAACUUAUUAAAAUUGGGUGACAAAAAAGAAAAUAAUUGUUAACAGUGGUGCUUAAUUUGCAAUUUUUUUUUUACUUUUGAUGGGCAAAAUAAAAUUUAUGAAAUUUAAGUGACGAAUUGGGUAAUUUAUGAAAAUUGAUGAUCACUAUUCCCUUGAUAAAUUCGUCCUUCCCCCACCCUUCACCACCCCCGUCCUUUCAUUUCUCUGUUUCUCUUUAUUAUUUCUCUUUAGUCGUUUGCUAGAUCAAAUGAUAAGUUUUUGCUACUUCCUAUCUUGUUAUUUUCAUUGAUUCUUGCCAUCUUCCAUGUUGCUACUCUGAUUAUCAAAUUUCCUUAAUAAAUUCGUCUUUCUUUCAACCUUCAACCUCCCCUCCUUUCAUUUCUCUAUUAUUUCUGUUCAAUAGUUUGUAAGAUUAGAUGGUAAGCUUUUGCUACUUUCUAUCUUAUAGUCUUUGUUAAUUUCAUUGCUUCUUUACAUCUUCCAUAUUGCUACUCUGAUUUUUAUUAUUAUUUGAGCUAUGUGACUAAAUUCUAAGAGAUUGCUUGUAAGUUAAAUUAAUCAGAAUAUAUUUUUUUUCUAGAAAAUUUAGCAUUUAUUAGUAUCAUAUAUUUAGCAUUUAUUAGCAUAAUUUAUUUGACUUACAAAUUUAGCCUAUAAAUAGGUUCUUUUACAACCUUAGAAAAUACAAUACACCCAUUAGAGAUUAGAACUCAUAACACAUUUAGAGAAUUUUGUGUUUACAUUUUGAGGGUUUUUUGUUUUCGGGUUUUCGAGGUUUAGUUUUUAUCUCCAUCUUUUGUACUCUUCGUUCUUUUGUCAUUAUAGUAAAAUUAUCUUUGCCUGUGAUUUUUUAUCCUCUUUGGAGGGAUUUUUUCACGUUAAAUUUGUGUGUUCAAUUUCUCAAUUUAUUCUACUACUUUUUUUACUUGUUACUUAAUCAGGUCGAUCCUAACAAUUAUUAUUAUUAUUGGUUAAUUUGGAACAAUAAUAUCUCUUUCAAUUACUAGACUUUUAUACUGGAUCCCAAAUUAAUUUCUUCUAAUUACGUCAUCUUUACUAUCAAGAUUAAUUCUUUCAUAAUAAAACCUGUGGAUCUAAAAUAGAUUUAUAUAUGCGUGGGAUCCAAUUACACAUGUAUAAAAUUUAAGUUGUUUUACACUCUUUCGUGAUUUUUUGUACGAUUAAUAUUUUAAUCAUCUAACUAUUUUAUUUCAUACUUUAUGUAAAUUAUACAUGUCAAAUUUGACAUAAUUUAAAAUUUUUCUAACUAUUUGUUUUACGCAAAAGAAACUUUCUAACCGUAAAAGAUAUAUUAAUAUUGAUAAUAUUUUAGAUCAAAGUGAUAGAGGUAUCAGUUCGAUUAAAAAAUUUACAUUAUGAUAAAUAUAAAAAACUACGGAAGAGUGUAAAACCACUUAAAAUUUGCAACGGUGUAAAUGAGUCCCUACACUUUAUAUAUUUUAACAAUCCAACCGUUAAAAUAUUAAUCGCAUAAAAAGUCAUAAAAUAGUGUAAAAUCACUCUAAUUUUACACCGAUAUAAGCAAACCCCUCUCCUAUAUAUUGAAAGAUGAAAUAAUUAUUUAUGGUUAUUUCUAAACUUAUCCAUGGGACAGGCCACCCGGUCCAGCCUAAAGACUCGCCUAAAAAGUGAGAGGGUUUAGGUAACAAUGUAGGCUCAAAAACUGGGCUUGGGCACAACCGGGCCUUAGGAGGAAAAAGACUACUACUUUUCCUUGCUGUUUUUUACUUUUUUUCUUUUUGUUAUUUUCUUUCUACUUUUUCACUAUUUUGCUACUAUUUUACUAUUAUGUUGGUACUAUUUUGUUGUUAUUGUUUGGAUAUUGUAUAACUAUUAUUUUGUUGUUACUUUUGUUACUAUUUUUGUGACAUUUACUUGUUAAAUUGCACAUAUCUUAGUGUUAUUUAAGUAUACAUAUAUAUUUAUUUUCAAUUUGUUAGAAAACAUUUAUUUUAAUAUAUUUAGUAUUUUUGAUGUAUUACAUAUAUUUUAAAAAACUAUAUAAUAAAUAAUAUAAAAAAAUUAAUACGGAUGGACCAAGUGGAGCCUAGAUUUUAGUAUUUUUAUCCAGGUCAAGCUUGUGCAAAAUUUUAGCUCAUUUUUCAGGCAGAGCCUGCAACUAACAAACGGGCUUAAAUUUUUGUUUAGGCUAGUCUCAAACCCAAUUUGAUCCGGCCCAUGAACACCUGUAAUUAUAUCUAUGCUCUGCCUAGAUUUAUUUGUGCCCGUGAAUAACUUUUAGUGUUUUUUUUUUGUUUAUAAAUCACUUUUUAUUGUAUAUAACUUAUUUGCUUAUUAUAUAUAUUUUUAUAACAGUUUAAUAUAAUAUUUAAUAUUUGAAUUUUACUGUCUUUUUUAAUAAAGUUUUUUUUUUGUUAGAUUUGGAAUAUCAACUUAUCAAAUGUUUUUCACAUUAAUAUAAUAUAUUAAUACUUUUAUAUUGUAGGCAUGAAAAUUUGAAUUUGAUCUUAAGUAACUUCAUUCCUCCUUUUAAUUAUUAAAAAAAAACAGUUUUAUUUUUUUUACGAGAUAACAUAAAUAAAAUUACACUUUAUUGCAAUGAAAAAUUGGCUCAAACGUGUUUCACCGGAGACAAACAAUGAACCAAAGGAGGUUAUAUGUUUAAGUUAUAGUACUUUAUCAUCCUUUUUUUUAAUCAGUCAUAUUCAACCUGUUGUUUAUAAAUGUGAAUUACUUUAAAAUUGGGAUAGCUUUAUAACCAACAAUAUAAUUUUAGGUUCAUAAAAUAAAACAACUGUUUCUUUAGUUAUAAUAUGUUAGUCAUAACUAGGGGCCCUCUUUUUCUUUUUUUUUUGUUGGGUAAUGAGAGUCCAUUUAGUUCAUGUUUUGGCUAUUUUAUUUUCAAUUACUUUCCUAUAUUUCAAACUUUUUAUAAAAAAAUUUUAUAACAUAUUAAAACUUGCAGUUUAACCAAACAUAUUAAGCAAAGCCAAUAAGCUUAUUAACGUAAUUAAUUACUAAUUUAGAAUUAAAAGCAAGAGAAUUUAAAAAUUAGGUUGGAUCAAGUUUAAUUCACAAUUUGACAUGUCUAAAAGUUUUGUUUAAUCCACUGCCCGAAGCAUGAAUUUGGGAUUCAUAAUUCCUGUCCAAAGAAUGUUUGGAAAUAAAUACAUAGUCUUAAUUAUCCAACGGUGAUGAUCACAAAUUUAGAUUUAUAUAUAUAUAAUUGUGAUUAGGAUAUAGGCUAUUCAACCCAAACUAUUUUUAUUUCAACAUCUUCCAAUUCUCUUACGAAAAUUUUAGAGUAAUUAUUUUCCUCAAAGAAACUCUGUUAUGUGCUAACUUGGGCUGUAAAUUUAAUUGAAAAAAAAUAAUUUGUCGAUUGAGUCUUAAUACGGUUGGUAUGGACAUUAUUGCUAAUGUAGAACGACGCAGGUUCGAGUGCGUUGAACCACAUUAUCCUUCUAUUUAUAGCUUGUGAAGGAGUUAUAGGUAAUUUUAGGCAUUGUUUAAAUAAAAAACAGAUAUGAUUUGAACUUAUAAUGAGAUUAUUAAAAAAAAAAAAAAAAGGUAAAUCAAUUAUGCCUUACUGAACCUUCCUCCAGCUUGCUAAUUACUUAUAUAUUUCCUGUUUAAUACAGGACCUGCUUAAGGCCAUCAAAGCUGACUUGGGAAGAGUGCGAGCGGAGGAAAUAUACACAGAAGGCAGGCUGAUAGCUGUGGAAAGUUCACUCCGAGAGUUUAAGAGAGUCAUUGGGGAUCUAAAAGCAAAGGCAAAAUUGGUUGAUGACUUGGUGAACCAGGUCAUUGAAGCUGUGAUUGAUAAUGAUCUAAACAUUGAUGAGCAAACCAUUGUCUUGAUAGAUGAAGCUAUAAGUGCCUUCACCCAAGCGUUGAACGGGGC